RNAcentral lists this ribosomal RNA (468 nucleotides) under uncultured bacterium. RNAcentral describes it as "partial 16S ribosomal RNA". It matches the Rfam family "Bacterial small subunit ribosomal RNA", at positions 28 to 507 of the family's 1533-position model. The record is from RNAcentral.
GACGAACGCUGGCGGCGUGCUUAACACAUGCAAGUCGAACGGAAAGGCCCUGCUUUUGUGGGGUGCUCGAGUGGCGAACGCGUGAGUAACACGUGAGUAACCUGCCCUUGACUUUGGGAUAACUUCAGGGAACUGGGGCUAAUACCGGAUAGGAGCUCCUGCUGCAUGGUGGGGGUUGGAAAGUUUCGGCGGUUGGGGAUGGACUCGCGGCUUAUCAGCUUGUUGGUGGGGUAGUGGCUUACCAAGGCUUUGACGGGUAGCCGGCCUGAGAGGGUGACCGGCCACAUUGGGACUGAGAUACGGCCCAGACUCCUACGGGAGGCAGCAGUGGGGAAUAUUGCACAAUGGGCGGAAGCCUGAUGCAGCAACGCCGCGUGCGGGAUGACGGCCUUCGGGUUGUAAACCGCUUUCGCCUGUGACGAAGCGUGAGUGACGGUAAUGGGUAAAGAAGCACCGGCUAACUACGUG